UGACCACUCAUUGUGUGAAUGUGGCCUUGACGAAGGCACGGUUUCCCACAUCCUUUUUACCUGUCCCAAACUACUCCGUCCUAUAUAUGACAUCCUUCCCUGUGAUAUUCCCCGCCCUAUAAAUGUUCAAUGUUUGUUAAUGUUGGUGUUUAGUCCCUACUGUACAUUUUUGUGUAAAUAUUUUGAAAUAAAUAAAAUUAAGUUGUAAAUAAAUCAUGUGUCUGUCCUAGUCUUAAGGUAUAACAAUGAAAGUCUGACUAUUUUGCCUGUUUUCAAAAUUAAAUUGAGACUGUUAUCUCAA
Molecule: long non-coding RNA, 301 nt
Organism: Melitaea cinxia (Glanville fritillary)
Lineage: Eukaryota; Metazoa; Arthropoda; Insecta; Lepidoptera; Nymphalidae
Exons: 2
Source: RefSeq, a predicted model, not a curated record